UGUCUUAUGGAAAUGAGCUGUUUAUUCUUGGUGGAAGAUGUCCUUGAAGAGUACUAUGAGACCUGGAAUGGUAAGAUGAUUAGUGAUAAUGGGUCUUGGGUGAUGCAAAGAAGAUGGAAACUAGAGUAUCCGAAGAUCUGCCAAGUGAACUGUACAUAAGAGGAAAAAAUAGCUCUGGGAAACACAGUGUAAAUCAAUGAGAAAACUGGAUUCAAGGCACAAAGUGCAGUUUGUACAUAACCUCUCCAGGAUGUUGCAGUCAUUCCAACAAUAUUCACAUUAGCCCGAACAUCUAUUGCAAAGGUAAGCAAGCAUCCUGCACUGAGCCAUGCAGUAACACCACAGCAAUAGCAAUGUUGCUGGACAGUCUCCUGCUUUCUGCUUUUCACAGUGCUGAAUCACCAGGUCUCACUCCUAGACCAGUGAGUGAAGCAAGUCAGUUAGGGAUGGCCUGGAGUAAAGUGGAUUUGAUCCAGAAACCACAGUGAUCUAUCAGAGGUUCUUGAACAGAGGGAUGAAGUGAUGGUGAGGAAGUAUUUGGGAAAGAUGAAUUUUGCAAGGGUAAGCAAGAUGGGCUGAGAUAGAAGCAGAUUUGCAAGGACAACUAAGAUGAAAUGCCAGCUAAGAUGUUACUGAUUGACUCAGGAUGAGGAAUAUUUCGGGGAAAUAACGCUAUAGGGAAACUAAAGGAAAUAUUAAUUCUAUACUUCACAAUUCUUUUUACUUUCCAUUUAAUUUGUGCUAUUUGUCUUACUGUCUUACUGAUAUCCCCAUUAGGCUGUACACUGAGGACAGAGCCCAUGUCUUCGACAUUUUAGUAUAGUGCUUUGCACAUGGUAAGUACCUAAUACAUAAAAUGUUUACUUUUAUUUGACACAUCCAGUGCUUGUUAAAAAAGUGCAUGCUUAUACAUAUAAAUCUUGUACAAAGAUUAAUGUUCCCUUUGUGGUAUGAUCUGAGAGAAAACUGUAUGUAGUGUGAAAAGAUUCAGAUGCUUGCAAGGAUAAAAUAAAAUAAACCAGGUACAUGAAGGGAAGAUUAGAAAUAGGGACCUAGAGAAAUAAUUUGAAAGGUCCGUGAGUCCUCAUUAUCUAGAGACUAGAAUGGUGGUUGCCAGGGGCUGAGGGGUGAGGAAAUGGGGAGACAUUGGUCAAAGGGUACAAACUUCCAGUUAUAAGGUGAGUAAGUUGCAGGAAGACAUCCAUACAGCAGGAUGAUU
This 1219-nucleotide long non-coding RNA is filed under the name Sus scrofa (pig). RNAcentral's name for it is "lncRNA (ENSSSCG00015054519.1)". Lineage: Eukaryota; Metazoa; Chordata; Mammalia; Artiodactyla; Suidae. The record is from RNAcentral.